This 459-nucleotide ribosomal RNA is filed under the name uncultured bacterium. RNAcentral's name for it is "partial 16S ribosomal RNA". It matches the Rfam family "Bacterial small subunit ribosomal RNA", at positions 338 to 795 of the family's 1533-position model. The record is from RNAcentral.
CCUACGGGAGGCAGCAGUGAGGAAUAUUGGUCAAUGGGCGUGAGCCUGAACCAGCCAAGUAGCGUGCAGGAUGACGGCCCUACGGGUUGUAAACUUCUUUUGUCCAGGAAUAACAUGCGGCACGUGUGCCGUUUUGCAUGUACCUUAUGAAUAAGGACCGGCUAAUUCCGUGCCAGCAGCCGCGGUAAUACGGAGGAUCCGAGCGUUAUCCGGAUUUAUUGGGUUUAAAGGGAGCGUAGGCGGGCUUUAAAGUCAGCGGGAAAAUUUCGGGGCUAAACCUGGCCCGGCAGUUGAAACUGGCCGGCUUGAGUACGCGAGAGGUAGGCGGAAUUCGUGGUGUAGCGGUGAAAUGCAUAGAUAUCACGAAGAACUCCGAUUGCGAAGGCAGCAUACGGAAGUGCGACUGACGCUGAAGCUCGAAGGUGUGGGUAUCAAACAGGAUUAGAUACCCGAGUAGUC